RNAcentral lists this ribosomal RNA (274 nucleotides) under uncultured bacterium. Its description in RNAcentral is "partial 16S ribosomal RNA". It matches the Rfam family "Bacterial small subunit ribosomal RNA", at positions 523 to 796 of the family's 1533-position model. The record is from RNAcentral.
AUACGGAGGGUGCGAGCGUUAAUCGGAAUUACUGGGCGUAAAGCGUACGUAGGCGGUUGGUUAAGUUAGAUGUGAAAGCCCCGGGCUUAACCUGGGAACUGCAUUUAAAACUGGCGAACUAGAGUUGAGUAGAGGGGAGUGGAAUUUCAGGUGUAGAGGUGAAAUGCGUAGAGAUCUGAAGGAACAACAGUGGCGAAGGCGACUCCCUGGACUCGAACUGACGCUGAGGUACGAAAGCGUGGGUAGCAAACGGGAUUAGAAACCCCAGUAGUCC